AACUAGAUGACUGAAAUAUAAGUAUUGGUCUCUUAAACCACAGAAUAGUAAAGUAAUGAUUACUUCUAGUA
This 71-nucleotide transfer RNA is filed under the name Allacta hainanensis. RNAcentral's name for it is "tRNA-Lys". Lineage: Eukaryota; Metazoa; Arthropoda; Insecta; Blattodea; Pseudophyllodromiidae. The record is from RNAcentral.